UACGGAGGGUGCAAGCGUUAAUCGGAAUUACUGGGCGUAAAGCGCGCGUAGGUGGUUUGAUAAGCGAGAUGUGAAAGCCCCGGGUUAACCUGGGAACGGCAUUUCGAACUGUCAGGCUAGAGUAUGGUAGAGGGUAGUGGAAUUUCCUGUGUAGCGGUGAAAUACGUAGAUAUAGGAAGGAACACCAGUGGCGAAGGCGGACUACCUGACCAAUACGACACUGAGUGCGG
RNAcentral lists this ribosomal RNA (230 nucleotides) under uncultured bacterium. RNAcentral describes it as "partial 16S ribosomal RNA". It matches the Rfam family "Bacterial small subunit ribosomal RNA", at positions 524 to 756 of the family's 1533-position model. The record is from RNAcentral.